Long non-coding RNA from Marmota monax (woodchuck), 1048 nucleotides. RefSeq lists it as uncharacterized. Lineage: Eukaryota; Metazoa; Chordata; Mammalia; Rodentia; Sciuridae. The record is from RefSeq and is a predicted model, not a curated record. The transcript is spliced from 2 exons.
CCCGGGACGCGCCGGCAGUCUCGGCGCCGCGUCCGUCCGGGACGCCCGCCGCCGCCAGCCCUGCGCGCCCGGCUCGACCCGGCUCCACCCCGCCUCUGUUCGGAGCAACUUUCUCCGCUUGCGGCAGCCGAGCCCCCUCCACAGCUGAAGGCUGACUGUCAAAAGUCAGUCCAACCCUACCCACAGGGAAACAGCUGCAGGAAGUGACUGCGGAACCGGGAGGCGGCGGAGGAGGAGACUGAGGGCGCCGGGUCGGCGUCGCAACUGCGCAUGUGCCUGACGGAGCAGGCCCAGCGGCAGCGACGGAAGGCGGCGGCGGCGGCGACGACCACGACUGCGGCUUCAGCAUCCCUGGCCACCGCCAGAGCGUGGGGCAGGUGCUUCAACCACAAGUUCGGGGGCUUCGCACUAAGACCGUACAGGAAACAAAGGCAUGAGUCAGAAAAAAGGUGCACCACUGCCCGUCUCUACCUACAACUCCUAAGAGCUGUUCACCAUGGACCCUGGAAAUUUGAUUCAUAGCUGAAGCCUGGGCAGAGCUUUUGCAACUUUCAUCUCUUUUUUACGAAGGCCAAACUACACCUCUCUGCACUUCCGCCCCUGGAUGGAGGAAGAAGAGCGCAGCUGCCCGCAUGGUGGCCUCCCGUCGCACAAGAACCCACGCACCUGCCCUCUCUCCCCCCUGCACUAAAGUGAGCAAGACUUGUUGGAGACUUUUUCUCCUGACCAACGGAGCUUCACCCUCAAGGCAGGAAGAACCAGGAAAGAGACUGACUAACGCUGGGAUACUGCAUCUCUCUCUUUGCCAACUUCGAUACCUUCGAGGCAGCUACUGCAUUUCCUUCCCGGUCUCAGAAGAAAGAAGCUGGCAAUUCCACAAUGUUUGUUUAAUAGGCAUUUGAAGCUCAUGGCAGUAACAGUUGUCUCAUAAAUCAGAGCUUGUGGUUUGGAAUAGCUGGACUUAAAAGAACUGAAAGAAAAAGAAAUGGUCCACAAACAAUGUAUUCAUCACUUUUACUGUAAAAAAAAAAAUGAUAAGGCUGCAUAA